This 421-nucleotide ribosomal RNA is filed under the name uncultured eukaryote. RNAcentral describes it as "bacterial SSU rRNA". It matches the Rfam family "Eukaryotic small subunit ribosomal RNA", at positions 592 to 1018 of the family's 1831-position model. The record is from RNAcentral.
CAAGAGCGUAUAUUAAAGUUGUUGCAGUUAAAAAGCUCGUAGUUGGAUUUCUGGUACAACGCGCCUGGCCCGCUUACGUGAGUGCCGGUGCGCGUUUGCCAUCCUUCUAGAAAACGUCUCUACUCGGGCAACUGAGCCGGAUUCGCGAUCUAGAUCUUUUACUUUGAAAAAUUAGAGUGUUUAAAGCAGGCUAUUGCCUUGAAUACAUUAGCAUGGAAUAAUGGAAAAGGACUUCAACCUCUUCUGUUGGUCUGAGAGGCUGUAGUAAUGAUUAAUAGGGAUAGUUGGGGGCAUUAGUACUUAACUGUCAGAGGUGAAAUUCUCCGAUUUGUUAAAGACUAACUUAUGCGAAAGCAUUUGCCAAGGAUGUUUUCAUUAAUCAAGAACGAAAGUUAGGGGAUCAAAGACGAUCAGAUACCAU